Molecule: ribosomal RNA, 1429 nt
Filed under: uncultured organism
Description: SSU rRNA
Rfam family: Bacterial small subunit ribosomal RNA
Source: RNAcentral
AGGGGCUUAACACAUGCAAGUCGAGGGGCAGCAUUUUCGUUUGCUUGCAAACUGAAGAUGGCGACCGGCGCACGGGUGAGUAACACGUAUCCAACCUGCCGAUAACUCCGGGAUAGCCUUUCGAAAGAAAGAUUAAUACCGGAUAGCAUACGAAUAUCGCAUGAUAUUUUUAUUAAAGAAUUUCGGUUAUCGAUGGGGAUGCGUUCCAUUAGUUUGUUGGCGGGGUAACGGCCCACCAAGACUACGAUGGAUAGGGGUUCUGAGAGGAAGGUCCCCCACAUUGGAACUGAGACACGGUCCAAACUCCUACGGGAGGCAGCAGUGAGGAAUAUUGGUCAAUGGGCGCGAGCCUGAACCAGCCAAGUAGCGUGAAGGAUGAAGGCUCUAUGGGUCGUAAACUUCUUUUAUAUGGGAAUAAAGUUUUCCACGUGUGGAAUUUUGUAUGUACCAUAUGAAUAAGGAUCGGCUAACUCCGUGCCAGCAGCCGCGGUAAUACGGAGGAUCCGAGCGUUAUCCGGAUUUAUUGGGUUUAAAGGGAGCGUAGGUGGAUUGUUAAGUCAGUUGUGAAAGUUUGCGGCUCAACCGUAAAAUUGCAGUUGAAACUGGCAGUCUUGAGUACAGUAGAGGUGGGCGGAAUUCGUGGUGUAGCGGUGAAAUGCUUAGAUAUCACGAAGAACUCCGAUUGCGAAGGCAGCUCACUAGACUGUCACUGACACUGAUGCUCGAAAGUGUGGGUAUCAAACAGGAUUAGAUACCCUGGUAGUCCACACAGUAAACGAUGAAUACUCGCUGUUUGCGAUAUACAGUAAGCGGCCAAGCGAAAGCAUUAAGUAUUCCACCUGGGGAGUACGCCGGCAACGGUGAAACUCAAAGGAAUUGACGGGGGCCCGCACAAGCGGAGGAACAUGUGGUUUAAUUCGAUGAUACGCGAGGAACCUUACCCGGGCUUAAAUUGCAACAGAAUAUAUUGGAAACAGUAUAGCCGUAAGGCUGUUGUGAAGGUGCUGCAUGGUUGUCGUCAGCUCGUGCCGUGAGGUGUCGGCUUAAGUGCCAUAACGAGCGCAACCCUUAUCUUUAGUUACUAACAGGUCAUGCUGAGGACUCUAGAGAGACUGCCGUCGUAAGAUGUGAGGAAGGUGGGGAUGACGUCAAAUCAGCACGGCCCUUACGUCCGGGGCUACACACGUGUUACAAUGGGGGGUACAGAAGGCGGCUACCUGGUGACAGGAUGCCAAUCCCAAAAACCUCUCUCAGUUCGGAUCGAAGUCUGCAACCCGACUUCGUGAAGCUGGAUUCGCUAGUAAUCGCGCAUCAGCCAUGGCGCGGUGAAUACGUUCCCGGGCCUUGUACACACCGCCCGUCAAGCCAUGAAAGCCGGGGGUACCUGAAGUACGUAACCGAAAGGAGCGUCCUAGGGUAAAACUGGUAA